RNA transcript from Panicum virgatum (switchgrass), 2476 nucleotides. It is a transcript of the gene named probable RNA-dependent RNA polymerase 3, with no coding region annotated. The record is from RefSeq and is a predicted model, not a curated record. The transcript has 6 exons. NCBI's taxonomy places the organism in Eukaryota, Viridiplantae, Streptophyta, Magnoliopsida, Poales, Poaceae.
CGCGGUCGCGCCGCGCCCGUCGCGCUUGACCAAAGAAGCCACGCCGCGCCGCGCCCGCAGCCGCUCCCCGACAACAGGAGGCUUCCCUCGCGAGCCACCUCGCUCCUCCGUCUCCCGCUCUGCCGCGACACGGCCAGCCCCCGCCGCGAAAGCCGGCCGCCCUACCCUAAACCCUAAACCCUCCCGGCCCGCCCCGGCUCGGAAUGCAGCCCUCGCCGGGUCCCCCGCCGCUCCCGGCGGCCGCGUCGGUGUCGGCGGAGCUCACGCGCCUCGAGGCGCAGCUGGACCAGUCCGCCGACCAGUGGGCGCGCGGCCAGCUCGCGGAGCUCGGCGACGCCGCGGCGGCCAGGGUGCUCCGGAAGGUCGCGGAGACCGGCGCCCGGGUGCGGAACCUGUCCGCCUUCAUCAAGUGGCUCGCCAAGCAGGAGGCCAUGCAGCGCAACGCCGAGGGGGUCCCCACCGCCGAGAGCGCCGCGUGCAGCUCCGGCCCCUUCCGCGCCUCCCCGCAGGCCAUUUAUCAAACGGAGGAUUCCAUAUCAGGACCAUUCUACCAAGAUGACAUCCAAAUGGAGGUUCAGAGCCCUGAUGGUGUGAUGGCCUUUGGUCUUUCGAACCAGGCAAGGAUCGUGCCUAUGAGCUCUGUCCGCCAGAGCCCCGCCAGGACAAAUGCUUGUACUGUUCCAGAAAUAGUCGAAAUGGAGGUUGAGAGCCCACCGGGUUCGAACUCUCCUUGCUUGCAGAAUCAGUACCCUUUUUCAGCAGUGGCUUCUCCAAUAGCAAAUCCUGGAGGAAUGGGGGCUGGGUGUAUUGAGUAUCAGAUGCCUGAUAGUCCUUCCCGGGUUCUCACCCCAAGCCCUGUUUGGGAUAUUACAACGCGUAUUCAGCAAAUGGAUGGCCUAUCAGGAAGGAUAGGGAUCAGGACACCACCUUCUGUUGCCUCUUGGAAUUCUUUGAGGGCAAUAGCAAGCCCUCAAAUGUUUGCACUGGGGGAGUUAGAGUUUGAUCGAUUUUUCCUCAUACGCGUGUACCUAGCAGACAAGAAGAUAGAAGAAGUACUAGAGGAUGUAAAUUAUAUAAGGUAUUUGAAGUCACUGCCCAUGGAUUGCUUCGAAUCAGAAAUCUGGAACAAAUUUGGAAAGAACUAUGUACUAGCUUCAGAUAGAAGAAAGAAUCUUGAUUGGGACCCGAACAAGACAAGACUGUACCACUGUAAUGUCGAGAAACGGGAUGAUACCAUAGCUUAUAUCUUUAAGGGUCCAUAUGUGGAGAAUACAAGGACUCAUCUGCAGAAAAUUGUUGGUGAUGACAAUGUUCUUAUUGUGAAGUUUGCAGAUAUACCUGAUCUUGUAAAUAAAAUCGACAAGUUCGGUAUCUACUGCACAUUUUACAGCCAGCUCGCUAAUGAUGGUAUCCUUUUGGGCUUGCGUCGAUAUCACUAUUUCAGUUAGUUUUGUUUUUCUUGUACUGCAAUACUGGUAUAGAACUAUAGAUCAAUUUACAAGGCAAAGAUCAAUUGCUACUGAUAGUUUUAAUCUCCACAAUUGCGUGCACAGUGAAGUCAAUUCACAGCUUUGCUAAAUGAGCUAUUCCAGAAACACACUAUGCUUGAGGGAAAAAUUAGCUAGAACUAUUGCAUUUAAAACUUGUCUAGACCACUGUUCACUGAUUACAUUUGUUGGGAAUAUCUAGAUAUCAUGUUAGAUGGUUUAUGCUGGUGGGGAACUAGGGAUUAUAAAUCCUGUCAGCAUGUAGAAACUAGUCAACCUUGAGUCUGUUAUAGCUCUUCCAUUUAGUCUAUACUGGAGCCUUGCCAGGAGUUAUAUUUUGAUCUGCUAAUAAAGACCUAGGAACACAGAGGAUUCAAUAUAGCUAUAUGCACUAAGCUACUAAUGGUAAACAAAAUCAUAUCAUGUAACAUCCAUUCUUCUCAUGGCGAGGUUCUUUUUCUAUGACUUCGAUCAUGUCACCUAAAUUGCAGCCUUCUGAUAUACUCCCUCUGAUCCUGAUUAUAAGUCCAUUUGGCUUUGUCCUCAGUCAAACUUUCUUAGCUUUGAUUAUUAGUUGCUAAAAUGUAUAGAUUUAUAACAUGAGGAUAAUAUUAGUAGAUUCAUUAUGGAACAUACUUUCAUAACAUGUACGCCGUAUCUGUUUCUAUUUAAAAUAAUAUAUUCUUAUAGACAUUUGUUGGUCAAAGUACAAUAUUGAAGACUGUGUCGUUGUCCUAAUGGACUUAAAUUUGGGAUCAGAGGGAGUAUACAUUAUCCUCAUCUUCUUUGGAAUUCUCACCUGACCUAGGUGUUUUGAUGUGUUUCUCACCUGACCUUAACUGAAACAAGAUUAAAGUGUGGCUUAGCCUGUGUAGCCUAUCCAUUUUCGUGUGCAGGAUAGUAAGGAAAUAGAAUUACAAGUUUUAUUUUAAAAAGAUAUUGUACUGUUUUCAAGGAAUAAGUAUUUCUCGGUGAUGGUCCUUAGUUUU